This 406-nucleotide ribosomal RNA is filed under the name Bacillus pumilus. RNAcentral's name for it is "bacterial SSU rRNA". It matches the Rfam family "Bacterial small subunit ribosomal RNA", at positions 985 to 1396 of the family's 1533-position model. Lineage: Bacteria; Bacillati; Bacillota; Bacilli; Caryophanales; Bacillaceae. The record is from RNAcentral.
GGCCCUCGUAACCUAGAGAAGGGCUUUCCCUUCGGGGACAGAGUGACAGGUGGUGCAUGGUUGUCGUCAGCUCGUGUCGUGAGAUGUUGGGUUAAGUCCCGCAACGAGCGCAACCCUUGAUCUUAGUUGCCAGCAUUUAGUUGGGCACUCUAAGGUGACUGCCGGUGACAAACCGGAGGAAGGUGGGGAUGACGUCAAAUCAUCAUGCCCCUUAUGACCUGGGCUACACACGUGCUACAAUGGACAGAACAAAGGGCUGCGAGACCGCAAGGUUUAGCCAAUCCCAUAAAUCUGUUCUCAGUUCGGAUCGCAGUCUGCAACUCGACUGCGUGAAGCUGGAAUCGCUAGUAAUCGCGGAUCAGCAUGCCGCGGUGAAUACGUUCCCGGGUCUUGUACACACCGAAUA